Molecule: long non-coding RNA, 1229 nt
Filed under: Cyanistes caeruleus (blue tit)
Lineage: Eukaryota; Metazoa; Chordata; Aves; Passeriformes; Paridae
Description: lncRNA (ENSCCEG00000008460.1)
Source: RNAcentral
AAGGAUCAAGCUAACCCCCAGCAAUGUCAAGCACCUAGUGUACAACACUGCCAAUGGCCCUCUGGAAUUCAAUGAGAACUCAGCACAAAAUUCAACUGCUCGUUCGUGCUCCAGUCUGUUCAAGCAGCUCACGGCAUAUGGUACAGGAGGAGUGAGGAAAAGCAGGUGUGGAGCUGGACAGAACACGUGCCAAGCCCCAGAACCACCCCUGGAGCAGGAGAAUAGAUCUUCCUUUAUAUUGGUGUUAAUCAUCACUUCUAAAGGACAUCACCAAUUCUCCCAAGCUCCAAGGAGCAGGAGGAGGAGUGCCCAGCCAUGACCCUGGCUGAGCACAGGGGGAGGAGAGCCCAGUGGUUAUUGAACAGAGCUCAGCCUGCACAGCAGAGGAGACAAUUUGUGUGCAGAGCUGCUGUUCAAUGGAAGACAUCUGUGGAUUCAUCAAAAACUCGUUCCAAAGGAAUUUAGGAAUGGAAAUGAACUCCUGUCACAUCACAACACGACACAAAAUAUCUGACAGACAGUCCUGGAGAUCAACAGCUCCCCUGCUCACCCACUCUGGAAUCUGCUGCAGUCACACCCUGCAAGGGAGCUCAGCAAAUUUGAUGAGAUCAAGGGCAGAGACUUGACAAGGUCCUGAGAAUGUAAUGGCAUUUAUUUGAACAAAUGUGAAAUUCUGCAUUGUAAGUUUGUCUCACUGAGCUCAGGCAGCAUUAAAAAUCACACUGUGAUUAUCACUGUGCUGCAAACUUUUAUUAAAUUGGGAAUCCCCCUGUGGGUCGGGAGGGAUGGGGAAUGGAUUAUUGCCCUCUGGUUUUUCCCAGUUUUUCUCUGCCUGGAGCAGCUGCCAGCCUGGCUCCUCGGGAUUCAGAACAGAUUUCUGAUUGUGGCUCCCAGUCCAGGCCUCUGAGCAGAACCUGAGCUGUUGGAGCUGUUUUAUGACAGGGUGCAAAGAAACCAGCCCUGUGCUGAGUGUUCUUCACCACCUCUGACUCCAUGAUGUGAACAAUUACCUGUAAUCUCGCUGCUGGGCUGAGAUAAACAACAGCAGGGGAACAGGAGAAAGGAAAAAGAUAAAACCAAACCAACCAACAAGCCUUUAGGAACAUUGCAGUGUGCUGUCUGGCACUUUCAGUGUUGACAAAAUUAGAAAAAUAAGCCAAACCAUAUUGUAAUACUUCACUUCCUAAAGCACUGUGCCUUUCAAACGUGGAAUUCUAAUGCAUCUUGCC